RNAcentral lists this long non-coding RNA (3167 nucleotides) under Nothobranchius furzeri (turquoise killifish). RNAcentral's name for it is "lncRNA (ENSNFUG00015001592.1)". Lineage: Eukaryota; Metazoa; Chordata; Actinopteri; Cyprinodontiformes; Nothobranchiidae. The record is from RNAcentral.
AUGUUGUAUUCUCUAAUUCAUCAGGUGAUCAGUGAAACCAUGCUGAAGGUAAUAUUACUACUGGGAUGCCUCGUUUGCCUCGCUCUGGCUGAUUCUCAAAAUGAUCAGAUACUCCAACGAGUUGCACGGUCACAUCGUGGACACCACUCCCCAAAGGGCCAUCGACAUCAUCAUGGCAACAACAAUCCAUCUGUGAACCAGCAGCUGCAAACGUUGCUUGACCUCCUCAAGCAGAUCGCUUCAACUACUACUACAACUACAGCUCCAACUACUACUACUACUACAGCUACUACUACAACUACAGCUCCAACUACUACUACUACUACAGCUACUACUACAACUACAGCUCCAACUACUACUACUACUACAGCUACUACUACAACUACAGCUCCAACUACUACUACUACUACAGCUACUACUACAACUACAGCUCCAACUACUACUACUACUACAGCUACUACUACAACUACAGCUCCAACUACUACUACUACUACAGCUACUACUACAACUACAGCUCCAACUACUACUACUACUACAGCUACUACUACAACUACAGCUCCACCAACUACUACUACUACAGCUACUACUACAACUACAGCUCCAACUACUACUACUACUACAGCUACUACUACAACUACAGCUCCAACUACUACUACUACCACAGCUACUACUACAACUGCUGUUCCAACUACUACUACAACUAUAGUUCCAACUACUACUACUACCACAGUUACUACUACAACUGCUGCUCCAACCACCACUGCUGUGGCUGCAACAACAUAAAUUCUAAAAUGAAAGCUUGGAAACUAAAACUCUGACAGAAAAAAAAUCUACAGAUAUCUAGGUUUACAUAGUUUUUGAAAUAUUACAUGAUGUUAUUAUCUGUACGAUUUCACAAAUAAAUCAGAAUUGAACAGGAAAAUCUGUUCUAAUUGUGUUUGUCCUGUGAGUCAGCUGUGUAGGACAACUAGUCUUAGAAUAAGCACCAAAAACAAACAAGCACUGGUGUGAGAUGAGAUCUGGACUCAUGUCAAGCAUAUUCAGCUACUGAGGCGUAAGGGUUCUGUAGGUUUGUAAUAAUGAUACUAGUGUCCUCUGCUGGUGAGGUGUGUGUGUGUGUGUGUGUGUGUGUGCGUGCGUGUGUGUGUGUGUGUGUGUGUGUGUGUGUGAUGCUAACAUGGAAGUGAGAAAAUGUACAGUUCCAUCCUCAUCCACUAGGGGCUGGCACUGCAAACGAGUAAAUCCUCAUUGACUCCCAUUUGAAAAAUGCCAACCUCACAGCAGGAAUAAACAUGUUUACAGCCUGGUUCAAAAACAUUUUAGGUUUAAAAGAUCUAGUUCACAGUCAUGACAACUCUGAGCAGGGUGAUUUUUUUGUAACUCUUCAGUUAAGGUGCAAUCAAAGGCUUUAAUUAUGAAUAAUUAGAUUUGAUUGACAGGUUGCAUUAGUCGUCAGAGCUAGACCUAGCAGGAAGGUCUCAGCCUCGGCCUCACGUUAGUAGAUGUUCUGCCAUUUUGACUCUGAAAUUCAACUGUGUCCUCUCUGUGUUCGUGUUUGGAUGUUAAAGGUGCAUUAUGUAGAACUGAAGUAAAAAUGACAUCAUGUGGUAAAAUUUGGUUACUGCAACCACUUUAACCAGCUGGAGCUUUUCACCAGCUGUUGUCAAAUUACAAUUGUCGGCGCUGCAGUAUUUGCUUGCAGGAGACACAACAACCCCACACUCACUGAUGGUAAACAGUAGUUACGUCCCUCCUUCCUUUGUUUUGAAAGGAGGAAAACUGACAAUCCCCGAAGCCAGCUGGAUAUGGAAUAUGUUUCAAUAUAACUAUUUUCAGUCAUUUUGGAAGGACGAAAUGACUGAAACAUUAGGCUCUUUUGGGAUUUUCUCUGUAAAAUUCUCACUAUAUUCUUACAUAGUGAACCUUUAAUCGUGGCAGAGAGGGCAAGCUGUGGUAUUGAUUGCACUAACAAACCAUCCAAAAAGUCUCUGCUUCAUUUUUUAAAUGAUGUAUUGGUAAGGCUGGGUACUGAGACUCAGACGGAUCUCCAACUGCGGGCGCUGGCUCUGACCUCUGCUGUCUGAGGCUGUGCUUGUCACCUGUGGAGCUCUCUGAGGAAGACCACAAAAAUUCUGCAGCUCAUGAGUUGAUGGAUGCUUCAAGUUUGAAUCGCUCAACCACGUUUUUCUGGCUAAAAGCGUCCAUAAACCACCGUUAGUUUAGUUUAGCUUGUAGCUGGGAACCAUGUUGGAGUUAGAUCCUCAUAGUUCUGCUCCCAGCUCCACCUCUUUGCCCAUUUUUGGAUAUGGUGUUAGUGAUGACACGAGUUACACAGGCAAGAUAGUAGUGGUGGGAACCGCCCAUCUGGCUUCAAAUAAUUAUUUUAGAAAACGAUGGGUGACAUCACGAAAGGUUUGUCCAUCUUUUUUUUUUUUUUUUACAGUCAUUGGUAAUUGUUACACAGUGAAGUGUAUUGAGGACAAAAGAAGCAUGAUGACUUGGUUGAUAAACAAGGAAAACCAAUUUAAUUUCCUCUGGUCCAAACAAAAAUCAGAAAAUCCCAGCACUAUUCAAAAUGGCCACCCAUCCAACUCUCCUCCAGUCUCUGUCACUUUCAGAGAAAAAAGAUCCUUUGCCACACCCAGCAGUCCACCUAUAUACUCUCCGACCCCCCCUCCAAUUCAGGUCGGCCAAUCACCUUAGUCCACUCAGGCAUUUCACUGUAUAAAGGCAGCAUUAGAGGCGGGCUUCCUCUUUAGCUGCUUCAAAAUGGCUGCCACACAGGACACCUCCUGAGGGUAACAAACAAAUUCAUGUUUAACACAGAUUACAUUUGUCCUGCAUGAACACUCUUUAGUUAAAGAAAACAUGUUGCUUCUCAACAGUAAUAUAAGGGCCAAAUUAAGACAAGCUAUCUGAAUUUGUUGUUAAUAUUUUUUCUUUUUUACAACAAUAAUGUAAAUUCAACAAUUUAUCUAAAUCCUGUCUCAGAAAUGGUAAAAUGGUAAAUCAAUCAAUCAAUCAAUCAAAGCUUUAUUUAUAAAGCGCCUUCCGCAACCCUGUCAGGAAGCCCAAAGCGCUGAACAUGGUACAGUUGUAAGUAAUUAUACUGAAUAAAUCAACAAUAAAAGAAAUUCAAUUACAAAAUUCAACUAGAACUGCAAGCA